CCUACGGGAGGCAGCAGUGGGGAAUAUUGGGCAAUGGGCGCAAGCCUGACCCAGCAACGCCGCGUGAAGGAAGAAGGCUUUCGGGUUGUAAACUUCUUUUCUCAGGGACGAAGAAAGUGACGGUACCUGAGGAAUAAGCCACGGCUAACUACGUGCCAGCAGCCGCGGUAAGACGGAGGUGGCAAGCGUUAUCCGGAUUUAUUGGGUGUAAAGGGCGUGUAGGCGGGGAAGCAAGUCAGAUGUGAAAACUACGGGCUCAACCGGUAGCUUGCAUUUGAAACUGGUUGUCUUGAGUACUGGAGAGGCAGACGGAAUUCCUGGUGUAGCGGUGAAAUGCGUAGAUAUUAGGAAGAACACCGGUGGCGAAGGCGGUCUGCUGGACUGCAACUGACGCUGAGGCGCGAAAGCGUGGGUAGCAAACAGGAUUAGAUACCCGAGUAGUC
This 443-nucleotide ribosomal RNA is filed under the name uncultured bacterium. RNAcentral's name for it is "partial 16S ribosomal RNA". It matches the Rfam family "Bacterial small subunit ribosomal RNA", at positions 338 to 795 of the family's 1533-position model. The record is from RNAcentral.